Cinclus cinclus is the source of this 5458-nucleotide long non-coding RNA. RefSeq lists it as uncharacterized. The transcript has 5 exons. The record is from RefSeq and is a predicted model, not a curated record. NCBI's taxonomy places the organism in Eukaryota, Metazoa, Chordata, Aves, Passeriformes, Cinclidae.
GGCCUCCAUUAUGCACUUAGCAAUCUCACUUUCAAGAUUUCCCUUAUUUACUGAGAAGAAGCUGCAUUAAAUUAAUCUGCUUGGAAACAAAGUUUAAGUUUGACCCUAUUUAGGAGUAACUUAGAUUUCGAAGACACUAUGGAGGAUAUUUCUUACUUUGGCAUUAUACCAUAAAUCAGUAUAAAUGGCACAAGAACAUAAGGAAGAGCUCUUCAAUAGGUUUGCAGUGCAGGCUGAAUCUUUAUGAUGUCAGUAAAAACAGUAGUAUAUUAUGACUAGGCAUUCUAUUUCACUUCAUUGUUACGACUAAACUUCCUAUUUCUAUUGUGCCCUAAUAACGAUGUUCCUUCUAUUCCAUUUUAGCAUUCCUAUUCAUUUAGUCUAAUAAAUCCCUGCUUCUCUGCAGUACCACUGAUAUAGGAAAUGCUCCUUUCCAUUUCACAAAGACAAGAAAAAACGGAGACAAAGAGAAAUGCUUCUGAGGCCAGGGAAGGAGAAACAGCAGUCUGAGACCUCAAAUGGAUUUUUGUUGCUGAAGAAUAUGUUGUUUUAACAGCACAUAUCUAUAAAGAUUUUAAAGGACUUCAAAAAAGUUUAUUUUUGGCAAAUUUUUACUAUGAUUUAAACAAGGUGAGGAAAACAAAUAAUAUAUUCUGAUUUUCCAAAGUCUUUGCUUGUAUACUUGCCUUUAUACCAAUUCCAACCUUAGUAAAUUGUAUUGUGGUGAAACAACCAUGAAACUGAUAAUGUAAUUCUUUGCAGAGAAAAAUCAAUUUCUCUCUGAUACAGGACAUAGAAUUGCAGCAUUUGAAAAAUAAUUCUAACGCAGGGCCUAACCAUGACCAACAAGGUGAGGAGCAGUUCACACCACCUCUGGGCAAGCCCCAUCAGGGUGUGUUGCCUGAGCUCCCUGCUGAAGGUGACACACCAGCAAGAGCUGCCUUUCAGAAUUUGGAAAUUCAGCCAUUAUGGACAAAAGUAUCAAAGUUUAUGUCUGUCUUUAGUUUUUGCAUUUCAGUAGUUAAGAUUUCACUGAAAAUUCUUUGAGAUCUUCAGCACAUGGAAGAUUAGAAUCGGUAUCAUAAUGAGGAGUAAUUAAGGCCUUUCCUAGAUACCAGAAGGCAAUCAAAGAAAGCUCUUUUCUUUCUUUCAAGUCUCAUCUGGUGCUAUCAAGAUUAAAUGAAACACAACUCAUUAUUAAUGAGGUUUUUACUAUUGUACUAAAUUAAAAUUUAGUCUCUUAAAAUGCUUUCCUUUUGCCUUUCAUACACAAUUUCUGUCCGUACUUUGUCUGUUUUAGUGGAGUCAUAUGCCAUAUUUAGCCCAGACAAAUGCUUUUAGACUUUACUAAUUCCAAAACAUUGACAAGCAGACACACUAGUGUGUCUUCUCUAUGUAUUGUCAGCUUGAUUCAGAUGCCUGUAAAUUCAUCUAAGACUCUACUCUUGCAUGGAAGACAAAUGACUCCUUUCAAGGAAAUACCUAUCAGUGUUGCAAUCACUGCUGCUGCUUUUCCAUUAGGAUUAUUAAAAAUCUCAAACUUUAUUCUCCUAGAAGUGCAGAACAACUGCAUUUUAGUCAUUUCAGAUGCUGGAGUCCAGUUUAAGAGGGUGAUUUGUAGCACUAGGUAUUACAGUGAUUAAUGAGAUUUCAGUAGCUUUUCCAUGGCUUCCUGCCUAGAGAAAAAAAAAAAAAAGAGAGAAAAUUCAACAAACAAAAAGACCUACCCCAAACCCAUAAUGGCAGAUUAGUUGUGUGCUUGUAAAAUAUUAAUGGACUUCUAAAGGUUUCAUUUUUGAAUGAGAACCAUUUCAGCAAGAGCUUUAGAAGAUGCAGAGAACAUUCAAGGAACUUGUGAACAUUCCUUAUGUUCUGCUUUAUAAAGUCUGUUAGGCACACCUGAUUACCAAGCAUUUAAACGAUCCAAAUAAAAUGCCAUUUCUGUAAUACUUUUAUAUUUUCGCUUUUUUUUUUCAAGUGUAUAUUAAGUACACAUCUGAAGAAAUAAUAUUGUACUCCUUUAUUUUAGAUUUAGGUAGCAGUCAAAAGAGAUUAAAUGCUGUUGUGUGUAACGAAGCAUGAAGAUGACAAGAUAUAUGAACCAGAGGCUUUUCAGUUCAAUCACAUCAUCCAGGACAUAAUUAUACAGAUUUUGUAUUUCAGACACCAAUGUCACCUUGGGGUUGAAAUCAUUCUAGAUGAAUCUGUGUGAGUAUAAAUAAGAUAGUUCCCCACACCCCAGUUACCUUCCUGUUUUAAAAAUAGAAAGGAAUAUGAGUUGUCCUGGGUUUAGAGAUGAGUUAUUUGUGUGUGAUAUUUGUGAUGGAAAAUUUUUUCUAAAAUACAGUAACAAAUGGUCUUCUUUUUUCCUCUCUUAUUUUAAGGGGAUAGACUGCUUCUAGUGUCAGAGUACUAGACUAGACUGAUCCUGGUCUCUUGUAGGGCAUUUGACUAACAGGUACAGAACUAUUGAUUAGAGUCAUUAAUUGUACCAAGAAAAAUAUUUUUCUGUAGUUUUUCUAUUAAAUUUCUUUAAAGCUACAUGCAGAAUGUUACUUCCCAUGUUGUAUUUUAGUUUUUGCAGCGCUAGUAUGGAUGAUAUGCUGAUGGACUUUUGAAAUCCUAAAAAACAUGAAUCUGACAGGGAGCCUAGAUGGAACUUCAAAAAAUUUUAUAUAUAAUUUAACUACUAUUACAAAAAUUUUAUAAAUGCUGAAUAAGGAUGUCAAUAAAUGUAUGACCCUCUAUUAAUUUAGUUCCUUCGUUACAGAAAGACAAAAUUUAUUAGUAGUGUUCUGCUAAAGCCAGAGGAGGGCAGACUUGAAUUGGAAACUUUUGCUACUGCAGGGCUUUCUCAGUUGACAGAAAUCUGUUGGAGCGUGUCCAGAGGAAGCCAUGAAGAUAAUUGGAGGGAUAGAACCAUCUCUUACAAGGAAAUAUUGAGAAAAUUGGGAUUGUUCAGCCUAGAGAAGAGCAGGCUUCAUGGUGACCUAAUUGUGGCUUUUCAGCACUUGAAGGGAGCCUACAGGAAAGAUGGAGAGGGCUUACUACAGGAGCAUGUAGUGACAGGACAAGAGGAAAUGGAUUCAAACUGACCAAGUGGGCUUACAUUAGGUAUUAGGAAAAAAAUUCUUUGCUGUGAUGGUGGUGAGACACUGGAACAGGUUGCCCAGAAAAGUGGUGGAUGCCCCAUCCCUGGAAGUGUUUAAGGCCAGGUUGGACAGGGCUCUGAGUAACCUGGUCCAGUGAAAAGUGUCUCUGCCCAUGGCAGGGGAGUUGGAAUGAGAUGGUCUUUAAGGUCCCUUCCUACCCAGGCAAUUCUAUGAUUCUAUGAUACAUUAUUUGUAUAUAAAUGUAUAUGUAUAUAAAUAUACACAGAACUGCAGGUUUAUCAGAAUUAAUUGAAAAUUAGCCAGCUUGGAUAUCAAUACCAGCACCAUUUCUGAGGAUAUAUGUAUAGACACAUAUAGCAAAGUUCAGCUGCAGCUUGGAAAUCCUCAGUGUUUCAGCUACCUAGAACUACCUGUGCAAAUACUUGACAUUAGAAAAUUAGGAGCGCUUUGAUUGGAGCAAUUAGGUUGAUACGUAGGAGUUCUAUAGUAGAGACAGGAACAGAUAGUCCUGAUUUUUCUCACUCCAAUUUCCACAACAAAUGUAAACGAAAAAUGUUUUCAUGCACUUCUGUACAACUGUGGUGAGUGCUGUACCAGAGUCCAGUCCAAGCUCUGAAAAAGACAGAAAGUGUGUGAUUACAAAAAUAUUCACAGACCCUUGCUCUGUUUGCAUGCUAGAUCAUGAGCAAGGAUUCUGCAUUAAGAUUGUACAUAGGACAGUGUGUGGCAUCUCCUGCUGCAUUCUUCUCCUGUGGCAUCUUAACCACAUUUAACUUCUAUUUUUAUUAGACCCCAGUGCUAAGGGGAAAAAAAUGCAAGUUCUAGCUUGUGCAAAAUUUGAUUUGUUUCCAACUCUAAUAAAUCCAGCCUUGCAACUUCCAGUCCUCUCAGGUGUCCAAAUACCCAUCCCUAGAAGACAUUCCUGUGCAUUAGAACUCAUAGAGUGAACUGCUGGAUCAAAGACUGUAAAGUUCUGUUCUCUCUAAGAUGCUUUAUCAUAAGGUACUGUAAUUUCACUGUGCUGUGCUACAUUUCAAAGUGUCUAAUGCUGUCAUGUAGCUGAACACCUGACACUGCUAACUCCAUACCCAGCACUGGUCAGCACUAGGAAACCUUAGCUUCAAGAUUUAAGGUAGAGUCAGCAUUUUACCACCUGUCAGUAAUAAUCUAUAACUUCGACUGCUGGGAACAAGUGAAAAGAUAUAAACCAGGAGUGGUUGGGUUUUCACCUACUAACAGUAAAUCUAGAGCAGUAACUUCAUGACAUCAGUGGGAGCAGUGUGUUCAAAUCUUCCAGCACAUCAUGGGAAAUACAGACUAUCAGUUUUCCAUUACUAUUUUGGCAGGCAUAAUUUUGUUAUUUUAAAAGCUGUUUGUACUGGCCACCUCAGUGCUUUCAUUAUUUCACACAUAUUUCAGCAUUUCAAGAAGUCUGUGGUUCAGCAAAUAUAGGGGAUAUAGUGUGUGUGUCCCCAAAUUUUAGUUUCUUUCACCAAGUAUGAUAUAUUACAUUUACAAGCUUCAUUUACAUUUCAACAGAGCAUUCAUCUGUGUGCUGUCAAAGAUUGGGGGAGGGGGGGUCAUUAAAUUAGAUAUUUUAGAGAGAUUAUGAAUUCUAAUAAAAGGGCAUCAGGAGUUGUAGUGAUCUGUAACAGCAAAACAAAAGAUGAUGGGAAUUUAGAAGGAAUGAAACUGUGUGAAAGCACCACUAGGUGCAGCAGAACAGAUAGUUAAAAGGAUGGACACUUGUUAACACAGAAAACUAUUCCCAGCAGAAAAGUUAAGGAAUUGCUCUGUUUAUGUCAAGGCCAGGAACCUGCACUUUGAAAACAGCCACAACACAGAUGACCUGUCAGCAAAAGGCUCAGGAUCGUGAUCCCAGGAGGAUGGUACCAAGGCUGCAGCAUCAGAUACGCCUUGCCUUUCCUGUUAUCCUGCCUGGAAAACACACGUGUUGAAAACAGGGAAAAACAGGCAAUGGGCAGCAUCCUGGCCUAUCAUUUGUGGAGGACAUAGCAAACAGGAUUCUGAGGUAAAAGAUACCAGCUGGUGCCUCCUAAGGGAAAUGACACAUCUGUCCAGAAACCACUUUGUUGUCCCUAGUCAAGGGCAUGUGAGGGUGUGGCAGCAGCAUCCCCAUUCCUUUGUGUCAAGCUCAAGGGAUCCUGGCCAGGCCACUGGGACUCUGUGAGUUGGUUAUCAAGAAUAUACAAGUGUCAGAAUGUCAGAGAAUUAACACUACAGCAGAAUGAGUGUGCGUGCAUAAAAUCAACUUGCUUAAAAGAUUUUAUAAAUAAAUAAGAUUUAACCCUUUCAUAAGAUCUCAGACUGAACUUUCUCACAAU